RNAcentral lists this ribosomal RNA (865 nucleotides) under uncultured Neocallimastigales. RNAcentral's name for it is "partial large subunit ribosomal RNA". It matches the Rfam family "Eukaryotic large subunit ribosomal RNA", at positions 1 to 634 of the family's 3401-position model. Lineage: Eukaryota; Fungi; Neocallimastigomycota; Neocallimastigomycetes; Neocallimastigales. The record is from RNAcentral.
CUAUACAUGACUCUGCGCAUAUCAAUAAGCGGAGGAAAAGUAAAUGUUGUAUACCUACGCUUAGGAUGUUGACACACGCGCGUGCUCGAUCUAUACAUGACUCUGCGCAUAUCAAUAAGCGGAGGAAAAGAAACUAACAAGGAUUCCCUUAGUAACGGCGAGUGAAGCGGGAAGAGCUCAAAUUUGAAAUCUUCAAGGUUUUACCUUGACGAAUUGUAGUUUAAAGAAGUGUUUUCUGCUGAAGUUUUGGUAAAAGUUCUUUGGAAUAGGACAUCAUAGAGGGUGAGAAUCCCGUAUUUGACCAUUACUUUUCAGCUUUGUGAUACACUUUCAAAGAGUCGGAUUGUUUGGGAAUGCAGUCCAAAAUGGGUGGUAAAUUUCAUCUAAAGCUAAAUAUUGGCGAGAGACCGAUAGCGAACAAGUACCGUGAGGGAAAGAUGAAAAGAACUUUGAAAAGAGAGUUAAACAGUACGUGAAAUUGUCAAAAGGGAAGCGUUUGACACCAGUGUUGUUUUCUCGAAAAUCAAUUAAAAAUGGCUCGAUUUUGUAUUGUUGAGACCUUAAAAGCUCACUGUACAUUUUUCGUGUCUUUUUAAUGCACUUUUCGUUUAACAAGUCAACAUCAGUUUCUUUUGUUGUAAAAGGGUCAUUGGAAGGUGGCUUUCGUUUCGGAGAAAGUGUUUAUAGCCUUUGGCCUCUGCAAUCGGAGAGACUGAGGUCUGCAGCGUAGACUCUUCGGGGCUAGAUACAUUUGUGCCUAAGUUAUAGCUUUUUAUAGACAACUUGUCGACUAUAAUUAGUCUUGUAGCUUACUCGCUUAUGCUAUUUUACCUACGCUUAGGAUGUUGAAGAUGUAGCACAUCAU